Non-coding RNA from Cinara cedri, 354 nucleotides. NCBI's taxonomy places the organism in Eukaryota, Metazoa, Arthropoda, Insecta, Hemiptera, Aphididae. The record is from the annotation of a GenBank genome assembly.
AAUAUUUAUGUUAUAUUAUAUUAUUAACCUCGGCUAUAGCCGUGUAUUAAUCCAACACUUACCUGAUUAUAAAUUGACUAUCUUUUUUUCCUGUAGACUUAAACAUCUGUCAUUCAUUAAUUUCGACUAGUGGAACUAGUUCGACUAGUUUUUUCGCCGUUUUUAUCACAUAAAAGAUACGGCACGUCAAUACAAACUAUUUGAUACCGAUACCACCAAUUUAUAAAAAAAGUGAAUUUUCGAUUUUUUCCCUGUACCCUUCAUAUGUGAAAUUAGGACACAACUGAUCAGACCCUAAAACAUAUCCCAAAAAGGGUUUAAUAAACAAUCUUGGGGGGGAGUUUUUCAGUUUUU